Long non-coding RNA from Melospiza melodia melodia, 565 nucleotides. RefSeq lists it as uncharacterized. The transcript has 4 exons. NCBI's taxonomy places the organism in Eukaryota, Metazoa, Chordata, Aves, Passeriformes, Passerellidae. The record is from RefSeq and is a predicted model, not a curated record.
GCCUGGGCUGGCUGGCUUUUAAUUCAGCUGAAAAUGGGGCUCGGACACCAGAACGUCUCCCUUGAAGGGAAGAGCUUUGGAAUAUAUGAAAAGGAAAUGUGCUUAUCUCACGCCUUAGUGAAGCAGAGAAAAACAGCUUGGGAAAGGAAGAUGAACAUCACCUCAAGAAUGUAUGGGUUCGACCAAAGGCAUGGCCGCGCAGCACCUUAGGGGGAAGAAGGAAGAGAUCCGGCUCAUCUGCAACGCCCUUGAACACCUGACAGUGGACACCAGCAGUGCUGUGUCACAUGUGGCUCUUCAAACACUGUAUGGCCUCCAAGCACUGCAGUGUGCGCGAUAUUCCGCAUUCCAGAGGCUGCAAGAUCAACUCUGCAGGGCAUGGAGGACACGGCCUCGUCUGUCGGGGCUCGGCUGGCUGUGCUGCUGGAGCUGUGCAGAGAGCUGAUGCCAGAGGCUCUGUCUGCUGGGAACACUGGAGCCAGCAGGAAUUUCCCAUUUCUUUAACAUUGUUCUCUUCUUCUUUUUGUUUUUUCUUUAGUAUAUAAAUAUAGAGUGUGUUAUAAUA